GGGUGAGUAAUGCCUAGGAAUCUGCCUGGUAGUGGGGGAUAACGCUCGGAAACGGACGCUAAUACCGCAUACGUCCUACGGGAGAAAGCAGGGGACCUUCGGGCCUUGCGCUAUCAGAUGAGCCUAGGUCGGAUUAGCUAGUUGGUGAGGUAAUGGCUCACCAAGGCGACGAUCCGUAACUGGUCUGAGAGGAUGAUCAGUCACACUGGAACUGAGACACGGUCCAGACUCCUACGGGAGGCAGCAGUGGGGAAUAUUGGACAAUGGGCGAAAGCCUGAUCCAGCCAUGCCGCGUGUGUGAAGAAGGUCUUCGGAUUGUAAAGCACUUUAAGUUGGGAGGAAGGGCAUUUACCUAAUACGUAAGUGUUUUGACGUUACCGACAGAAUAAGCACCGGCUAACUCUGUGCCAGCAGCCGCGGUAAUACAGAGGGUGCAAGCGUUAAUCGGAAUUACUGGGCGUAAAGCGCGCGUAGGUGGUUCGUUAAGUUGGAUGUGAAAUCCCCGGGCUCAACCUGGGAACUGCAUUCAAAACUGUCGAGCUAGAGUAUGGUAGAGGGUGGUGGAAUUUCCUGUGUAGCGGUGAAAUGCGUAGAUAUAGGAAGGAACACCAGUGGCGAAGGCGACCACCUGGACUGAUACUGACACUGAGGUGCGAAAGCGUGGG
This 665-nucleotide ribosomal RNA is filed under the name Pseudomonas sp. Its description in RNAcentral is "bacterial SSU rRNA". It matches the Rfam family "Bacterial small subunit ribosomal RNA", at positions 104 to 765 of the family's 1533-position model. Lineage: Bacteria; Pseudomonadati; Pseudomonadota; Gammaproteobacteria; Pseudomonadales; Pseudomonadaceae. The record is from RNAcentral.